RNAcentral lists this ribosomal RNA (305 nucleotides) under uncultured bacterium. RNAcentral's name for it is "bacterial SSU rRNA". It matches the Rfam family "Bacterial small subunit ribosomal RNA", at positions 336 to 658 of the family's 1533-position model. The record is from RNAcentral.
CUCCUACGGGAGGCAGCAGUGAGGGAUAUUGGUCAAUGGGGGAAACCCUGAACCAGCAACGCCGCGUAAGGGAAGACGGUUUUCGGAUUGUAAACCUCUGUCCUCUGUGAAGAUAAUGACGGUAGCGGAGGAGGAAGCUCCGGCUAACUACGUGCCAGCAGCCGCGGUAAUACGUAGGUGGCAAGCGUUAUCCGGAUUUAUUGGGUGUAAAGGGCGUGUAUGCGGGAGCGCAAGUCAGAUGUGAAAACUCAGGGCUCAACCCUGAGCCUGCAUUUGAAACUGGGUUUCUUGAGUGCUGGAGAGGG